Molecule: ribosomal RNA, 497 nt
Filed under: uncultured bacterium
Lineage: Bacteria
Description: partial 16S ribosomal RNA
Rfam family: Bacterial small subunit ribosomal RNA
Source: RNAcentral
GAUGAACGCUGGCGGCGUGCCUAAUACAUGCAAGUCGAGCGAACGGACGAGAAGCUUGCUUCUCUGAUGUUAGCGGCGGACGGGUGAGUAACACGUGGAUAACCUACCUAUAAGACUGGGAUAACUUCGGGAAACCGGAGCUAAUACCGGAUAAUAUUUUGAACCGCAUGGUUCAAAAGUGAAAGACGGUCUUGCUGUCACUUAUAGAUGGAUCCGCGCUGCAUUAGCAAGUUGGUAAGGUAACGGCUUACCAAGGCAACGAUGCAUAGCCGACCUGAGAGGGUGAUCGGCCACACUGGAACUGAGACACGGUCCAGACUCCUACGGGAGGCAGCAGUAGGGAAUCUUCCGCAAUGGGCGCAAGCCUGACGGAGCAACGCCGCGUGAGUGAUGAAGGUCUUCGGAUCGUAAAACUCUGUUAUUAGGGAAGAACAUAUGUGUAAGUAACUGUGCACAUCUUGACGGUACCUAAUCAGAAAGCCACGGCUAACUACGUG